This 253-nucleotide ribosomal RNA is filed under the name uncultured bacterium. RNAcentral describes it as "partial 16S ribosomal RNA". It matches the Rfam family "Bacterial small subunit ribosomal RNA", at positions 524 to 776 of the family's 1533-position model. The record is from RNAcentral.
UACGGAGGGAGCUAGCGUUGUUCGGAAUUACUGGGCGUAAAGCGCACGUAGGCGGAUAUUUAAGUCAGGGGUGAAAUCCCGGGGCUCAACCCCGGAACUGCCUUUGAUACUGGGUAUCUCGAGUCCGAGAGAGGUGAGUGGAAUUCCGAGUGUAGAGGUGAAAUUCGUAGAUAUUCGGAGGAACACCAGUGGCGAAGGCGGCUCACUGGCUCGGUACUGACGCUGAGGUGCGAAAGCGUGGGGAGCAAACAGG